This 459-nucleotide ribosomal RNA is filed under the name uncultured bacterium. Its description in RNAcentral is "SSU rRNA". It matches the Rfam family "Bacterial small subunit ribosomal RNA", at positions 26 to 518 of the family's 1533-position model. The record is from RNAcentral.
AGAAUCAACGCUGGCGGCGUGCCUAACACAUGCAAGUCGAACGAGAAAGUGGAGCAAUCCAUGAGUAAAGUGGCGACCGGGUGAGUAACACGUGACUAACCUACCCUACAGUGGGGGAUAACUCCGGGAAACCGGGGCUAAUACCGCAUAACAUCGUAAGAUCAAAGGAGCAAUUCGCUGAAGGAGGGGGUCGCGGCUGAUUAGUUAGUUGGUGAGGUAACGGCUCACCAAGACGAAGAUCAGUAGCCGGCCUGAGAGGGCGCACGGCCACACUGGAACUGAAACACGGUCCAGACUCCUACGGGAGGCAGCAGUGGGAAUUUUGCGCAAUGGGGGAAACCCUGACGCAGCAACGCCGCGUGGAGGAUGAAGUCCCUUGGGAUGUAAACUCCUUUCGAUCGGGACGAUUAUGACGGUACCGGAAGAAGAAGCACCGGCUAACUCUGCGCCAGCAGCCGC